UGGCGGCCUGGCGAGGGCAGGGAAGCUGGGGGGAAGCUGCCCGCCCGGGGAAGCUGCCCGCCCGCCCUGCACCCCUCCUCCUCGGUAACGCGCCCGCCUGGCCGUGUUCCCGAGUCCCAGCCUUUCUGACUCACCCCGCGAUCUGGGCACAUAGGAACGGGAGUGCAGGAAGAGAAUGAUGGCGGUGAUGACCGGCACAGAGCUGGUGGAUGCCGGACUGGAAGUGAGAGGGCCAGCAAGGCAGUGGAGAUGACCUCAAACACAGCACGUUUGCUCGCAUUCGUCGCUCUUUCAUGCGAGGCGGGGAGUGCUGAAUUACCUCUCCCUGGCCAUUCUACUCCGCAGUC
Prionailurus viverrinus (fishing cat) is the source of this 347-nucleotide long non-coding RNA. RefSeq lists it as uncharacterized. Lineage: Eukaryota; Metazoa; Chordata; Mammalia; Carnivora; Felidae. The transcript is spliced from 3 exons. The record is from RefSeq and is a predicted model, not a curated record.